Molecule: ribosomal RNA, 497 nt
Filed under: uncultured bacterium
Lineage: Bacteria
Description: partial 16S ribosomal RNA
Rfam family: Bacterial small subunit ribosomal RNA
Source: RNAcentral
GAUGAACGCUGGCGGCGUGCCUAAUACAUGCAAGUCGAGCGAACAGACGAGGAGCUUGCUCCUCUGACGUUAGCGGCGGACGGGUGAGUAACACGUAGAUAACCUACCUAUAAGACUGGGAUAACUUCGGGAAACCGGAGCUAAUACCGGAUAAUAUAUUGAACCGCAUGGUUCAAUAGUGAAAGACGGUUUUGCUGUCACUUAUAGAUGGAUCCGCGCCGCAUUAGCUAGUUGGUAAGGUAACGGCUUACCAAGGCAACGAUGCGUAGCCGACCUGAGAGGGUGAUCGGCCAAACUGGAACUGAGACACGGUCCAGACUCCUACGGGAGGCAGCAGUAGGGAAUCUUCCGCAAUGGGCGAAAGCCUGACGGAGCAACGCCGCGUGAGUGAUGAAGGUCUUCGGAUCGUAAAACUCUGUUAUUAGGGAAGAACAAAUGUGUAAGUAACUAUGCACGUCUUGACGGUACCUAAUCAGAAAGCCACGGCUAACUACGUG